RNAcentral lists this ribosomal RNA (252 nucleotides) under uncultured bacterium. Its description in RNAcentral is "partial 16S ribosomal RNA". It matches the Rfam family "Bacterial small subunit ribosomal RNA", at positions 524 to 776 of the family's 1533-position model. The record is from RNAcentral.
UACGGAGGAUGCGAGCGUUAUCCGGAUUUAUUGGGUUUAAAGGGUGCGUAGGCGGGAUGCCAAGUCAGCGGUAAAAAUGCGGUGCUCAACGCCGUCGAGCCGUUGAAACUGGCGUCCUUGAGUGGGCGAGAAGUACGCGGAAUGCGUGGUGUAGCGGUGAAAUGCAUAGAUAUCACGCAGAACUCCGAUUGCGAAGGCAGCGUACCGGCGCCCAACUGACGCUGAAGCACGAAGGCGUGGGUAUCGAACAGG